GAGUCCGCUGGAAGGAAGAGAACACACAUGCAAGUCGAGCGGUAGCACAGAGAGCUUGCUCUCGGGUGACGAGCGGCGGACGGGUGAGUAAUGUCUGGGAAACUGCCUGAUGGAGGGGGAUAACUACUGGAAACGGUAGCUAAUACCGCAUAAUGUCGCAAGACCAAAGUGGGGGACCUUCGGGCCUCAUGCCAUCAGAUGUGCCCAGAUGGGAUUAGCUAGUAGGUGGGGUAACGGCUCACCUAGGCGACGAUCCCUAGCUGGUCUGAGAGGAUGACCAGCCACACUGGAACUGAGACACGGUCCAGACUCCUACGGGAGGCAGCAGUGGGGAAUAUUGCACAAUGGGCGCAAGCCUGAUGCAGCCAUGCCGCGUGUGUGAAGAAGG
RNAcentral lists this ribosomal RNA (388 nucleotides) under Klebsiella pneumoniae subsp. pneumoniae. RNAcentral's name for it is "bacterial SSU rRNA". It matches the Rfam family "Bacterial small subunit ribosomal RNA", at positions 34 to 414 of the family's 1533-position model. The record is from RNAcentral. Lineage: Bacteria; Pseudomonadati; Pseudomonadota; Gammaproteobacteria; Enterobacterales; Enterobacteriaceae.